AUCCAGCUGACCAGUCUCAAAUAGGACGAAAUGCGCAUCCUGGAU
RNAcentral lists this non-coding RNA (45 nucleotides) under Trichobilharzia regenti. Lineage: Eukaryota; Metazoa; Platyhelminthes; Trematoda; Strigeidida; Schistosomatidae. The record is from RNAcentral.